RNAcentral lists this ribosomal RNA (253 nucleotides) under uncultured bacterium. RNAcentral's name for it is "partial 16S ribosomal RNA". It matches the Rfam family "Bacterial small subunit ribosomal RNA", at positions 524 to 776 of the family's 1533-position model. The record is from RNAcentral.
UACGGAGGGUGCGAGCGUUAAUCGGAAUUACUGGGCGUAAAGCGCGCGUAGGCGGUUUGUUAAGUCAGCUGUGAAAGCCCCGGGCUUAACCUGGGAAUUGCGCUUGAAACUAGCGGGCUUGAGUGCGGCAGAGGGGGGUGGAAUUCCUAGUGUAGAGGUGAAAUUCGUAGAUAUUAGGAAGAACACCGGUGGCGAAGGCGGCCCACUGGUCCGGUACUGACGCUGAGGUGCGAAAGCGUGGGGAGCAAACAGG